GAUGAGAGAGUAGGUUUGAGGUUUCCUUUGUUAUAGUUCACCCAGAGAUAGCAUAGACCUUUCUUUAACCUCUUAUUUCCAAAUAAUUUUAUUAUUGCUACUCUAAUUGUUCUUCCAUCUGCCUCCAAGGUGGAGCUGAUCUGUUUCUGGGUUGUUUGUUUGUUUGCUUGUUUUUUUUUUCUUUCCUGAGCAAGGGAUGUGCUUUCUUACAAAUCCUGUGGCAUGAUAUCAGAAAUCCCUCUUUGAAUUGUGCAUUAUUGUUAUAAGAGCUUGACAAUCAAGCCUUACGUGACAUCUUGCCUUGAUGACUGAGUAUUUUUCCUGUCAGUGUCAAUUUGAGUAAAAAGAGUGUGUGUGUGUGUGUACGUUUAAAAUGUAGUCACUUGUCAGAAAAAAACAAGGUCUUGUCACAAAGAUGAAAUGUUAAAGUUACUACUUUGUUUAAUGUUUUGCAAACGUCCAUAUUUUGUACCUUCCUUAUUUAUUAACAGCCUGAGUCAAGAGCAAGGCAACAUGCUUCUUAUGCCUUCCACUACUCUAAAUAAUCUUAGGUAGCGUACCAGUUUUCAGGAGAGGCAACCUCUUGGCAGCGCUGGCAAGAUGGAUUUUUUAAGUCUUUCUAGGACAAUGCAAACAGCUUGAAUGUCACCUGUGAAAGCAUGUAAGCCUCUGAAAACAAGUAUAGUCUGUUUUCCAAAGCAAGGAAAUAAGAUGAAGGGUAGUUUUUUUUCUGUCAGAGCCACUAUUUUAAAUCAGCCUUCAAAGGUAGCAUUAUGGAGAAUAAAUAACAGCAAUUAAAUCUGGAUGUAUGAAAUGCUUUGUUAACUGUUGGGAAGGCUGUGCCACUGAGGAAAGAAGAGAGGCUUGCAAUAGCUGUUUAAAAAUAGAAUCAGAGAUGUUAUUUCUGGACAGUUGCACUUACCUGUUCUCCUAGCACUGUCAUUGCCUGGCUGAUGGAAGAAUCAGUUGACUUCAUCCACAACACUAUGCUGGACUUUGGAAAAUGAAGCUUAGCAUUAUAUGACAAGAAGUUGAGCUGCUAUUUCAGUUGACUGGUCGGUGGGUAGAAGGAUCUAUGUGCAUAGAGAUAAGUAAGUUUUUCUGACCAAAUAAUUCAGCAUCAUUUUAAUUCCUAGGGUUAGCUUGUAAGUUGCCUUGUCAGUGUGGUUGAUUUCUUGAUUUCUCAAAAAACACUGUACACAAUGUAUUACUUUCAAUCCUUCUCCCUUAUACUCUUUUUAAUUACAAACUAUCACCCGUAACUUGGCCAUCUGGCAAAUGUUAUGUGAGUUUUGAUAUUUCUCUCCCCUUUUAUAACAUGGAUGGCAAUUGUUUCUGGUUUGCUACUCCUUAGCAGACAUUUCUAAAAUGAAAAUAGCUUUUUUUUUCCCCCCAUGGAAAAUAUGCAUAUUUUCAGAAUGAAGUCCAUUUUUUAUAUCCACAUAAAUUUGCCUCUUAUUGUGUUGCUACCCAUUAUGAAUAGUUCUGGGUAGAGUUCAGGCUCCAUAUUUCUACUUGCUUGAAUAAAUGAACUUUUCAAGAGGAUUUUUUUUCAGGUUUGAAAUGAAAAUGCUUUGGUUGGACCUAAAUUUUUAGUUGAUUUAAUCAACCUGGAAUAGCAUUUUGAAGGAAUUAGCUAGGUUACUUUUAGAACUCUAGCAAGUAGGAUAACUAGAAGAAUCAUUACAGAAAGCAGUAGUUCUCUCUUAAAAAUAUUUUGGACAAAAAGCACUGUUAUUUUUCUUAUUUCAUGUACGGCUCCAAGUCUGUAUGCUAAUUCUUCCUGUCCCCAUAAGGAAAUGCAAUGAGGAGGAUAUUUCCCUGGUUCUUCAACCCUGGAAGCACUUGUGCUCUAGAAGGACAUUGGAAGGGGAAUGCAAGGAGAUGCCCCAGUCUGUUAAAAUCUGAAGACCACCUGUAGUCAAUCGUUACCAACUUGGUGCUUAUUCUUUGGCCAAAGUCCUUGAAUUUUUGAAGAAGCUGAGUGCACCCUGAGGAGUUCUCAACUUAUGGCCCAUUUCAAUUCAUUUCUGCAGGAUGCUUCUACUAUCUUCAUGCUAGUCUUUGUCCAGUCUUUGUCCUGGGAAAUGCGAGGCAGGGGGACAGAGAGAGGUUGAUAAGCAGCAGAGAUAGAGAACCAAAGAAAGGAUCAGUGAGUUGGUGAAAGCUGCAUGACUCUGGAUUCUUUCCAGCCCUCCUCUGCACAGAUGCUUUUGUAAAACUCACUGUGGCUUCUGAAAGGAAGGUCGCUAUUCAUCCGGCCACUGAAGGAGAUCAUGCUAAUAGGCUGCAGGAUCACAAAGACACUCACCGCCUGCUGUCAUGAAUGCAAGUCAGGCUUUGUUUGUUACACUGAAUGCUUAUUU
Gallus gallus (chicken) is the source of this 2366-nucleotide long non-coding RNA. NCBI's taxonomy places the organism in Eukaryota, Metazoa, Chordata, Aves, Galliformes, Phasianidae. The record is from Ensembl.